Molecule: ribosomal RNA, 200 nt
Filed under: uncultured bacterium
Lineage: Bacteria
Description: partial 16S ribosomal RNA
Rfam family: Bacterial small subunit ribosomal RNA
Source: RNAcentral
AUUGAACGCUGGCGGAAUGCUUUACACAUGCAAGUCGAACGGCAGCACGGGAGCUUGCGUCCUGGUGGCGAGUGGCGAACGGGUGAGUAAUAUAUCGGAACGUAUCCAAUAAUGGGGGAUAACUAAGCGAAAGCUUGGCUAAUACCGCAUACGGCCCUGAGGGGGAAAGCUAGGGAUCUUCGGACCUGGCGUUGAUGGAG